Molecule: ribosomal RNA, 896 nt
Filed under: uncultured bacterium
Lineage: Bacteria
Description: bacterial SSU rRNA
Rfam family: Bacterial small subunit ribosomal RNA
Source: RNAcentral
AACGAACGCUGGCGGCGUGGAUAAGACAUGCAAGUCGAACGCCAAUCCCAGGGUAGCAAUAUUCUGUGGUUGGAGUGGCGCAAGGGUGCGUAACACGUGGGUAAUUUGCCGUGAAGUUGGGGAUAACUCGCUGAAAGGCGAGCUAAUACCGGAUGUGAAAAUCGGAGGGCAUCCUCUGGUUUUUAAAGUUGGGGACCGCAAGGCCUGACGCUUCACGAUAAGCCCGCGGCCUAUCAGCUAGUUGGCGAGGUAACGGCUCACCAAGGCUAAGACGGGUAGCUGGUCUGAGAGGACGACCAGCCUCACUGGAACUGAGACACGGUCCAGACACCUACGGGUGGCAGCAGUCGAGAAUUUUUCUCAAUGGGCGAAAGCCUGAAGGAGCGACGCCGCGUGGGGGAUGAAGGGCUUCGGCCCGUAAACCCCUGUCAUUUGCGAACAAACCCCGUGACCUAACACGUUCCGGGCUGAUUGUAGCGAAAGAGGAAGGGACGGCUAACUCUGUGCCAGCAGCCGCGGUAAUACAGAGGUCCCAAGCGUUGUUCGGAUUCACUGGGCGUAAAGGGUGCGUAGGUGGCGGGAUAAGUUUGACGUGAAAUCUCCGGGCUUAACCCGGAAACUGCGUUGAAUACUAUCUUGCUCGAGGUUUGGAGGGGGGACUGGAAUUCUCGGUGUAGCAGUGAAAUGCGUAGAUAUCGAGAGGAACACCAGUGGCGAAGGCGAGUCCCUGGACAACACCUGACACUGAGGCACGAAAGCUAGGGGAGCAAACAGGAUUAGAUACCCUGGUAGUCCUAGCCGUAAACGGUGCAUAUUUGCUGUGAAAGGAAUCGACCCCUUUUGUGGCGUAGCCAACGCGUUAAAUAUGCCGCCUGGGAAGUACGGUCGCAAGAUUA